CAGCAGCAGCCACAGGAAUACGUAGGGCGCAAGCGUUGUCCGGAAUUAUUGGGCGUAAAGAGCUCGUAGGCGGUCUGUCGCGUCUGGUGUGAAAUCCCGAGGCUCAACCUCGGGCUUGCAUCGGGUACGGGCAGACUAGAGUGCGGUAGGGGAGACUGGAAUUCCUGGUGUAGCGGUGGAAUGCGCAGAUAUCAGGAGGAACACCGAUGGCGAAGGCAGGUCUCUGGGCCGCAACCGACGCUGAGGAGCGAAAGCAUGGGGAGCGAACAGGAUUAGAUACCCGUGUAGUCCCUGUCUCUUAUAC
RNAcentral lists this ribosomal RNA (304 nucleotides) under uncultured bacterium. Its description in RNAcentral is "partial 16S ribosomal RNA". It matches the Rfam family "Bacterial small subunit ribosomal RNA", at positions 506 to 807 of the family's 1533-position model. The record is from RNAcentral.